This 473-nucleotide ribosomal RNA is filed under the name uncultured bacterium. Its description in RNAcentral is "bacterial SSU rRNA". It matches the Rfam family "Bacterial small subunit ribosomal RNA", at positions 28 to 517 of the family's 1533-position model. The record is from RNAcentral.
GAUGAACGCUAGCGGGAGGCCUAACACAUGCAAGCCGAGCGGUAUUGUUUCUUCGGAAAUGAGAGAGCGGCGUACGGGUGCGGAACACGUGUGCAACCUGCCUUUAUCUAGAGGAUAGCCUUUCGAAAGGAAGAUUAAUACUCUAUAAUAUAUUAAUUGGCAUCAAUUGAUAUUGAAAACUCCGGUGGAUAGAGAUGGGCACGCGCAAGAUUAGCUAGUUGGUGAGGUAACGGCUCACCAAGGCGACGACGGGUAGCCGGCCUGAGAGGGUGACCGGCCACACUGGGACUGAGACACGGCCCAGACUCCUACGGGAGGCAGCAGUGGGGAAUAUUGCACAAUGGGCGCAAGCCUGAUGCAGCAACGCCGCGUGAGGGAUGACGGCCUUCGGUUGUAAACCUCUUUUAGUAGGGUAAGAAGCGAAAGUGACGGUACCUGCAGAAAAGCACCGGCUAACUACGUGCCAGCAGCCG